GCUGGGAUUACAGGCGUGAGCCACUGCGGCCGGCCCCAAAAUAGGCUCAUCUUUUGAUGUUGCCCACAAGUGAAUAAAGUUAAGGCAAAAGGUAGGUGUAGUGUAGUUGGCCCUGGAAGCCCGUCUUUUGGCCUUCACCUUACUUUAGGACGAAGUAGGGUCUGUCCAGUGGCCUACAAGAGGAAGUAAUUCUGCUUUUUCCAAAGUUGCCUGGAGCAUAUUUUCAAAAAUGAAGACUCUCACUUUAACUAUAUGAAGUCUGGUGCACACUAUUUUGCAUGCUGUGAUUACUGGUUAUUUAAGCUUCAUCAAUGAAAAGAAACAGCAGAGCAAGAGUCAAGCUUUAGUCUAAUAAGAAAUGAGAAACAGAAGCUGUCAGCCACCGAAUGGGAACGAAGGGGUAGUGAGGCAAGGACAUGCCACCUUCCUACUCUACAACUCAGAACCUCACAAGGGAGGCUGUUUUGCCUCUCUAGUUCCAUGUUAAGCUGGUUUUAAUCUCCAUCUUGAUUGCCUUCCUUCCAAAUGGAUGGAUGUAUUCAGAGAGAUUGUCCUGAUCCAUCCUGAUUGUCUGCCAAUGUAUCUGCUGAUGUGGGUAGGGCCACCUGGCAUACACUUGCAGGGCCAUGCUCUUGUGAAUCAGACAGUCACAUUGCAUGGCAAAGGAGACCUGCAUUUGAUGUUCAAAAAUGAGAGAGCCCAAGGAGCCUCAGCUCUUGGUUGCAACACUGGGGACAAACUAUGAAUAAUAAAGUGAGUGACACAAGGGCUUAAGGUCAGGAACUCCUGUGGCAUUUUGGUUUAGCUCAGUUGGAGGUGUGGGAGGAGUGUGAUGGAGCUGAACCCAGAUUACGGAGGAAGCUUCAUCAUGCCAGACCGAGCUGAAGCCAUUGAGUGGCUUUCAACAGGGAAUAACAUGACUGUACUGAAAGCGGCAGGGCUGACAUUGGGGAGACCAGUUCUGAUGACCUUGCAGCAGUCCAGAAGAAAUGAUGGUGCCCUGAACUGUGUUAGCAGCAGUGGAAGAGGGUGGACCCAAGAGCUGUGGGGAGGAAGAACCUGUAGACUUGACGACCACCUAGCUAACAUAUUCAUGGCAAUGAGUCUUGGAAGUUCUACAGCGCACCUGGAGGGAUGGUGGGAUCAGCGAGGCCAACACUGAGAGAAACGCAGGCGUGGAUGCCCUGGCACAACCUCGCAGCAGAUCCUAAUUCCUGGGAGGACCCCUUUCCUUCCCACAUUUGACAAAGACAGUCUACGCAGAUUCCCUAGAAAAACCUCCUCGCUGCCCACAGGUUGCUUUUUUUUUUUGUUCCCCAUCAGAGCAGCCUGCUGGAACUCAGCAAGGCAGUGGACAAUCCAAUGGUCGUACCAGCGAUUGUCCAUACCUGUGGGAUAACUAGGAAGACAGUUAUUUUUGUGUGAGUGCCUGUGUGCUCUGGGGAGAGAUGCCAGUGAGUGAAACUGGAAUGAACAACCUGACCUCGAGGAAAAAAAUGACCUUAUCGUUAACAAAAUAGUGAAUGCUUCCACAGUGCCUGUUUGUACAGAGUGCUUCACAAGCAUGAGCUCAUGUGAUUUCCUCAUCACUUGCUUUUCCAGCUGUAACAGGUUUGGAGAAGGCAGCUGUGGAUUCUCUUUAGCUUUUGUUUGAGAGGUUUCUCUCUUCCUGGUCAAGAAGCCACAUGACCCGAAUGUAACUAGGACGGUGUUGUUGAGCACUUGCUUGUGGACCCCUCUGGGGUCUGCAGAUGACUGGCAGGAUGCUGGAGCCUGCAGGUUUUGCUAGUUUCCUACUUGCAUGGAUCCUUUCUUGCCCCAGCUCUGGAUAGGUUCCCAGGCUUCAUUAGAAUUCAUGGACGGUUAUCUGCAAAGACUUCUGGACAAGAAGCACAUCCAGUACUUCCUAAAAGAGCAGAUGGGACCAUAGCAAGAAUCUCUUUGCUGCCCGACACAUGAGAAGCGGCCUGCCCAGCUGGCACUUGCUCUCCUACAACCAGCCUCAACAAGGCAUCGAGCUGCCUGCACCAGUGACAGCAAAGCAGCACCUGCCUGUCUGCAGCUCAGGGAUUUUCUCUCGCCCUCAGUCGUACAGCCUUAGCCUUCCAGGUGGUUUCUAGGGCUGGGUAACUAGUUCCUUCUGGGUUGGGGAAUGGGGAACAAGUGUAAAAGUUAUUUUGGCUCAAAUACAAGAUUGACAUUUGGUUUUAGAAAUAGGAAUAUUUGUUAUGCAGCUUCCAUUUUAUGAAAAUGAGGGAUAUGUUUUCCAUCCUCUUACCUAUUUAAUCAACAAAGGUCUUAAUGGAGAUGCAGUGGGCAGCUGGAUUCUUAAAAUGCCAGCUCCUUCCCAACAUCCUCUAAAUCAGACAUUUCUGUCUAAGCAUGCACCUGCAAAAAUGAUAUGUUGUUUUCCAGCUUCACUGCAAGAUCCUUGCCAGAAUUCAGGAUAGGUAUCUCAAGGAUAUCAUUACAAGUUCCAAAUAAUGCCAUCUUUCAUGCUUGAAAAGCCAUGACUGUCUGGUCCCUGCAGGGAGUAGCUGGUGCCUUCAGUGGGGAGGGGUUCGAGCGUGAGCAGCUCAGGAACGUUGUGGUCUACGGUUCAGCCACAUCCUUUGUGGUAAGAAACUGCAACAAAAUGUACUUUAUAUUUUUAUAAUCAGCUGGCUUUUAAAUUACAGCCAUGCUGAAUAAGAGCAGAGAAAACGUAUGAUUAGUAAUUUCCUUAUGCAGAAAGUAGAACAGUUUCUGGCUAAGGCCUAGGGCUUUAAAAAAAAGGUGCUUUUAGUAAAAAAAAGAAAAUGGAAAAUUCUUUAUUCCAAAGCCAAAGCAAUGGUUCAUGGCCUCCUUCUGAGCAGUAAUAGUCCAACUCCACGAGGAAGUGGAAAUGGAAAAGAUUAGCUUGGGAAAAUAUUCUAAGGGCUGUCUGCCUGCCCAGCCACUGUCACCUAUAUACUGAGCCACCUUCUCUGGUCCUUACAAGCACAGAAAAAUGGAUCUGUGGCAGUCAUGGUUCCUGGACUUCUAGAAAUGACUAUAUUCCAGGAGAUGCAGAAAUGCUACUGAACAUGGAUGUGCAGCACCACAGAAAACCUAUGUGGGAUCCUGAUCACCAGUGGAAGCCCGGCUCCUUAGAGAGCUAAGAUGGAACAAAGAAAAUUCCCAGGCCCGGGAACCACCAGAGGUACUACCUUAUUUGCUCAAAAGGUAGGUUAUGCCCAUAAGGGGCAGACCACGCAUGGCUCUACCUCUCUCUCUCUCUCUACACACACACACACUCUCUCUCUCUCUCUCUCUCUCCUGCUUUUAUUGUGCCAUUUUGGAUCUGUAGGAACUUGGGCUUGAAGAGCUACAUGAUCUGAAAUUCAGCAUGUAUCAGCUAGUAGGUUUAGGUUAUGUCCCGAGAGGGAUGUGCCUCCAGGUGGCUGUGACCUCACUUUCACAGUUCAUGCAGAGGAAAGUCAUCCUUGUGGUCCUGGGAGAGCUGGUCUGUUGCUGCCCAGGUUUGCCUGCACUGCCAGCAUGGCUCUCACAGCCCCCCAAAUUGUUUUCCUCUGAAAGGUUCAAAUCUUGACUCUGAAACAGACCUCAUAAUGAAACACCUAUGGGAAAAGUCUA
RNAcentral lists this long non-coding RNA (3615 nucleotides) under Homo sapiens (human). RNAcentral describes it as "HSALNT0350838". The record is from RNAcentral. Lineage: Eukaryota; Metazoa; Chordata; Mammalia; Primates; Hominidae.